GCCCGGGUGGCGAAAUGGCAGACGCAAGGGACUUAAAAUCCCUUGGGGGCAACCCCGUGCGGGUUCGAGUCCCGCCCCGGGCA
This 83-nucleotide transfer RNA is filed under the name Gemmatimonadales bacterium. RNAcentral describes it as "tRNA-Leu". It matches the Rfam family "tRNA". From Rfam's summary of the family: Transfer RNA (tRNA) molecules are approximately 80 nucleotides in length. Their secondary structure includes four short double-helical elements and three loops (D, anti-codon, and T loops). RNAcentral also lists the same sequence under 1 other name. Lineage: Bacteria; Pseudomonadati; Gemmatimonadota; Gemmatimonadia; Gemmatimonadales. The record is from RNAcentral.